AUUAGAAUUCAUAAUUACCUUCCCUUAAAAGGAAGCAUGAUCCUUCAUUCAGACAAACUUGAAUCCUCUUCACCUAAAGAUGCUUUAUGGUAGUCGAAGAAAAGUUUACAACAACAGCAACAGAUAUCCAUGCAAUUCAAUAUAAUUUGAAAAAAUUAUAAGUCCAAUCAUCAAUCCCAUAAAAGACAAAAAAGAAGAAAAGCUCGGAUAAAGACAGCAGAGGACCAAGCAAGACAGUAGAAAGAUCUCAGUCAGCUACAACAGUGGGAGGAUUGAUGACUACUGAGGUUUAACCUGGAUAAGUGUACAGUACUGCUAUCAACAGGAGGUCCCUACUGUUAGUUAGCUAUUCCAUCAAUGGCCAAGUCCUUUAACACAGUAGACUGACUCCUCAACAGAGUAACAUUGCAUAGAACCCUCAGUUGGGACACAUGUGUAGACAGGAACCACAAGAACAUAGCCCUAACAGAAACAUCAGUCGAUGCCCAAUUAACAUCAAUGCCCUAGUGAUAAUCCACCCAAGUGUGACCUACCAUGGAAUAUGCUUUUAGUGUGAGGAGGCCAGCAACUAGGUAGAACAUCAGCAAGCUAGAGGAGGUCCAACAUAGUCUAAAGAGAACAGCAAGAUUUGCCACCAGAGACUUCUAGCAGGGCACCAGUAGUGUAACAUCCAGGCUACAACAACUCUAAUGGCGAACACUACAUUACCGAUGUUAUACAGGAUAUCAUACAACCUUACAGACAUCUCAGAAGAUUACCAUCUAAAGCACAUAGAUGAAGGAUUGAUGGACAGUGUCCAAGGCAGGGGUCAAAAUGCAAAACUGCCAAAUCAAUAUGAAAGAUUUUAAAUUCCUUAAAAUAGGGUCAGGAAGAGAAAAUGCUUUAAAAACUGAUAUUCCAAACUGUGUACAUAUUUCACUCCACUUUGCUUCGCCCCACUCCACUCAGCUUUUUACCCCAAGGCUAGACAACUUGAUACACAUAAUAGAAAAUAUAUUAGGCAUCAAAUGGAAUAAUUCUAGGAUCCAAAUGUUCAAGUGAGGGUCACACUGAAUUGUUUUUUGGGGGCUUGCAUUUACAAGUGUUAAAAAUUUUGCUAGUUCUUUUCAUCUUCAUAUAAAAGAUGAUCAAAAAGUUAUCGAAAAACUAUUUUCUACAAAACAUGAAUGUUGACAAUGGUGACCUUGACCCUCAAUUUUUUUUCUUAAACACUUUAGAAAUCAUCCUUUAAUUACAAAUAUUAACAUCAAACAGUAUAUUUGACAUAUUGCAAAGAAAAGUAAAAUGUUAACACAUGGGUGCCACUCACCACUCACUCAACUUCCUUGCAACUCAGCUAAAAGUGUAAGGAAAAGAUUAUCCUCAUUGACAUUAAAUGGUGAUAACAGAUGUAUCCUAAUACUGGCAUUAAAGAUAUCAUUUGAAACAUGGCCUGUUGUUGAUGAAGAUUCCAAAGAUAGAGUCUAGAGAAACGAGGAGAAAAUGAAAUGGACUGGGAAUUGAUCCAGUCUGACAGUAUAUAUGAAUUAACAGAAAUAAAAUUCUGAAACUUCAGUACAGCAAAGCAGAGCUAGGACUUCAAUGGUUCAAGUCUGAGGUAAAAGUUUGAUUGAUUACCCGCCACCUGGUAUAAGACCAGUAAGAGGAUCAAAAGGUUCAAAUAUAUCAAGGACAUGAACCACUUCAAUUGUACAGAUAUCCUUUCACUGCCAUUCUGAUGCAAGUGUUUAGUAUACUAGUAACAAUCAAGUCAUUUCCAUCGCACAGUACUGUAGUCAUCUAAAAAUGAUCCUUAAUUUCACUAAUUAAUCUCUAACAGCUAUGUUUAAAUAGUGUCCUUGAGACCAAAAAAAAAAAUCUCCUUCCCACAUGAUACAGAUCCCCUUUGGGUCACCUGUAUCCCACGAACAUGUGACUAAAGUCUGCACUUUUAAAAUGACAGGAUAACUGCAGGGCCACGAGAUUCAAAAACCUCAGUGUCACAUGAUAUUAUGUAUCAUUAGAAUGUUAUACAUUUACACAUGGCUGGGUGGCACUAAGUACAGUAUGUACCUCCCACACAUAUAGCACAUACACGGGUCUCAGCUGUUGUACACUUUUAGCAUGGGCACUGGUUAUGUUGUAUAUUUAAAACUAAAUACAAACAAAGAAAUGUUCUUUAAAGUCCCUGUAUUGUGCAUAUAUAAAGCUAGUGAUGAAAGAGGUUUGGAUAGGCCUAUGUCAAAUAAUCUGGUUUAUUAGUCUGCAUCCCGCAGUUUCUCAUUAAGUUUUAUCGUUACAAUGGCCAUUGUCAUCUGCAGUCAGGAAGGAAAUAUUGGAGAUAGAAGAAAAAAAUCCUUAGUGAGUUUGAGUAGGUAAAUAUAUGGCUUAGUGUGUUAGACUGGUAACAUUAAGCUCACAGAAAACAAUGGUGAUAAUUCAGCUAACGAUCGCGAUCUCCUGUCAAAAGGCUGACAAUUCAUGAAUGAAAAAAUAUUCAAUUUUGAUACUUACCACAAAACUCCUCCCUGAUGUUGUAUUGUCUUUGACAGAAAUCGUACUUGUAGACUCCCUCCGAGAUUACCGCCAUCGAAAUCUAGUUUUUCUCAGUUUCCC
Long non-coding RNA from Ostrea edulis (European flat oyster), 2595 nucleotides. RefSeq lists it as uncharacterized. The transcript has 3 exons. The record is from RefSeq and is a predicted model, not a curated record. Lineage: Eukaryota; Metazoa; Mollusca; Bivalvia; Ostreida; Ostreidae.